Long non-coding RNA from Cygnus olor (mute swan), 1351 nucleotides. RefSeq lists it as uncharacterized. NCBI's taxonomy places the organism in Eukaryota, Metazoa, Chordata, Aves, Anseriformes, Anatidae. The transcript has 3 exons. The record is from RefSeq and is a predicted model, not a curated record.
GGGCGACGGCGACCCCGAAAGGGCGAAGGGUCCCCAAAGGGUGACGCUGUCCCCCAAAGGGUGAAGCAUUCCCCAAAGGGUGACGUUGUCCCCAAAGGGCAAAGGGUUCCCCCAGGGGGCGACGGUGACCCCAAAAGGGUGAAGGGUCCCCAAAGGGUGACGCCGUCCCCGACAGGGCGAAGGGUUCCCCCAGAGGGUGACGCCGUCCCCAAAAGGGUGCCACCAUCCCCGGGGAUGGCGUUCCCCAAAAGGGUGAAGGGUCCCCAAAAGGGUGACGUUGUCCCCAAAAGGGUGAAGCAUUCCCCAAAGGGUGACAUUGUCCCCAAAGGGUGACGCCGUCCCCGAAAGGGCGAAGGGUUCCCCCAGAGGGUGACGCCGUCCCCAAAAGGAUUCCACCAUCCCCGGUGACGCUGUCCCCAAAAGGGUGAAGCGUCCCCAAAGGGUGACACCGUCCCCAAAAGGGUGAAGCAUUCCCCAAAGGGUGACGUUGUCCCCAAAGGGCGAAGGGUUCCCCCAGAGGGUGACGCCGUCCCCAAAAGGGUGCCACCAUCCCCGGGGACGGCGUCCCCCAAAAGGGUGAAGGGUUCCCCCAGGGGGCGACGGCGACCCCGAAAGGGCGAAGGGUCCCCAGAGGGUGACGCCGUCCCCGAAAGGAUUCCACCAUCCCCAGUGACACCGUCCCCGAAAGGGUGAAGGGUCCCCAAAGGGUGACACCGUCCCCAAAAGGGCGAAGGGUCCCCAAAGGGUGAUGUUGUCCCCAAAGGGCGAAGGGUUCCCCCAAAGGGUGACGCCAUCCCCGAAAGGGUGCCACCAUCCCCGGGGAUGGCGUCCCCAAAAGGGUGAAGGGUCCCCAAAAGGGUGAAGGGUCCCCAAAGGGUGACGCCGUCCCCGAAAGGAUUCCACCAUCCCCAGUGACACUGUCCCCAAAAGGGUGAAGGGUCCCCAAAGGGGUGACACCAUCCCCAAAAGGGCGAAGGGUCCCCAAAGGGUGACGCCGUCCCCAAAAGGGCGCCACCACCCCUGGGGACAGCGUCCCCAAAAGGGUGAAGCGUUCCCCAAAAGGGUGACGCUGUCCCCAAAAGGGUGACGCCGUCCCCAAAAGGGUGAAAGGUCCCCAAAAAGGGUGAAAGGUCCCCAAAAGGGUGACGCCGUCCCCAAAAGGGUGAAAGGUCCCCAAAAAGGGUGAAAGGUCCCCAAAAGGGUGACGCCGUCCCCAAAAGGGUGAAAGGUCCCCAAAAAGGGUGAAAGGUCCCCAAAAGGGUGACGCCGUCCCCAAAGGGUGAAAGGUCCCCAAAGGGUGAAAGGUCCCCAAAAGGGUGACGCCGUCCCCAAAGGGUGAAAGGUCCCCAAA